UUAAUUUUUUCAGCAUAUACAUAAAAUACAUACAAACUAAAAAGAAUGAAACAAAGAAUACUACAAGAAAAAAGAAAACUAAAAAAGUGCGAAAAUACAGAAAAGACUAUUACAUGGUGGCUUCCAACUUUCUACAACAAAGUUAUAUAUAACUCAUUAUCACAUUUCCAUCUCUAUAUGACAUUCUCCUCUAAAACAAACUAUCUCUC
This is a long non-coding RNA of Candoia aspera, 209 nucleotides long. RefSeq lists it as uncharacterized. The transcript has 2 exons. NCBI's taxonomy places the organism in Eukaryota, Metazoa, Chordata, Lepidosauria, Squamata, Candoiidae. The record is from RefSeq and is a predicted model, not a curated record.